This is an RNA transcript of Glycine soja, 1345 nucleotides long. It is a transcript of the gene named ABC transporter I family member 6, chloroplastic-like, with no coding region annotated. The transcript is spliced from 6 exons. The record is from RefSeq and is a predicted model, not a curated record. Lineage: Eukaryota; Viridiplantae; Streptophyta; Magnoliopsida; Fabales; Fabaceae.
AUGGCGUUAUCCCUACUAAUCCACUGUUCUCCCACCGUUAACCCUCUCCGACGAUCCCCAAAACCCACCCUCCGCCGCGUCAACCACCGCGUCUGCGUGGCCAGCGCCGCCACUCCCCUCCUCCAAGUUAAUGACUUGAGGGCCAAGAUUGUCGAAUCCAACGUCGACAUUCUCCACGGCGUCAACCUCACCGUCAACCAAGGAGAGGUCCACGCCAUCAUGGGAAAAAACGGUUCCGGCAAAAGCACUUUUGCCAAGGUUCUUGUGGGGCACCCAGAUUAUGAAGUAACCGGAGGCAGUGUUGUUUUCAAAGGUGAGAAUUUGCUUGAGAUGGAACCUGAAGAAAGGUCUCUUGCGGGUCUCUUCAUGAGUUUUCAAUCCCCUGUUGAAAUCCCCGGUGUUUCCAAUGAUCUAUUUCUCGCCAUGGCCUACAAUGCUCGAAUGAAAAAACUUGGUCGAGAAGAGGUUGGACCAAUCGAGUUUUUACCUUACCUGAUGGAGAAGCUUCAGCUUGUUAACAUGAAGGCUGACUUUCUCAAUAGGAAUGUGAACCAAGGGUUCAGUGGCGGUGAACGCAAGCGCAAUGAAAUCUUGCAGCUUGCGGUUUUGGGGGCAGACUUGGCUAUUUUGGAUGAAAUUGAUUCUGGUUUGGAUGUUGAUGCGCUCAGGGAUGUUGCCAAUGCAGUUAAUAGGAUUCUCACCCCAGAAAAGUCCUUGUUGAUGAUAACUCAUUAUAGGCGGAUUCUUGAUCUUUUGAAUCCUACACAUGUCCAUGUUAUGGACAAAGGGAAAAUUGCAAGGUCAGGCGACAUAUCGAUGGUAGAAGCUAUUGAGGCUGAUGGAUAUGAAACAGUCUCUGCUUUAACAUAAUACAGCUAGUAUCGAUGGCAGUAUUGCAUGGGCUGGCAUUCAGUAGUUGCAUCUAAUGGAACUUUCUUCCGUAUGUAGUGAGGCAGUUGCACUAAUAUGCUGAUGGCUCCUUUCAUCUUUUCCCUUUCUUUGUUCCAUUUUGAAAACGAGGAAGCAGACUGUCUAAAGCUCAUGCUGACAGAGAUGUUGAUGUUUCUUGACUUGGGACGUAUAGUCUUCUGGGUAUUAUUUCCGUAGGCUUUGAUAGAGAAAUAUCGAAACUAUUGAAUUUUUCCUUUUUUUUUUUUGUUUUUAAUGUAAGGGCCUUUUCAUUGUUAAAUAUCAACUUGGGGCACACAUGCCUCGUUUGCUGUAAAUGCAGUAAGGAUUGAAAUAGCUGUCAAACUACAUUAAUAUUAGCCACAUUUUUGUUUUGGUAUUGGCAGUUGGCCUAGCCUUUUCAUGGGCAUAUUAAAAAACUUUAAAUUAUUGCUUU